CCACAGGCCUCUUCAAAGCAGCUCAGAGCCUGGGCUCAGAGGCUGGAUGCUGCCGCCUGGUUCCAGGCCCCGAAGGUCACGGGCCGGGAGGAGAAGCAGUGUGACCCCAGCGGCUCUCCUUUCUGAGGUCACACCUGCCCCCCAUACACCCCUUCACCUACACUCACACACUCCCCUGGCCCAGCCGUAUGCAGAGGGCCCACCUCCCACCACUGAGGCCUCCGCCAGUGCUGCCACCCUGCCCAGCUCUUGCGAGCCCCAUCUCUCCCUGCUGACCAGGAGGAGAGGGGAGAAGGGCUGAAAUCUGUGUGCCGCGGCCCUGGACUGCCCUCCGGGGAAGCAGCUCAGCCCUUCCAGGCUGAAGCGGGGGUUUCAAGGGAGGAACAUUCCCAAAGCCAGCCCAGGAGGCCUCAUGAGAGACCCUGGCGCCCCAGCACUGCGCUCUCUGCCUCUCCUGGAGCCUCCCCCGCAGCAGGCUAAGGCGGAUCCUGAGCAGCUUAUUCUGAAAAGAGAGGGAAGCCAAACAAUCCUCCACAAACGAACAUCCAGGAAAAAAAUGAAUCCAAUUUACACUCAGAAGUUGUCACUACAAAUGAAAAUGGGAGUGAGCAUCGAACAGAAAAGGGUGGACUUCCUUUUUGCCUCUGCUCUCAGCAUGGGUGAGCUGAUAAAUCCCCAAAGAGAUCAAUCUGGGCAAGCA
RNAcentral lists this long non-coding RNA (700 nucleotides) under Capra hircus (goat). RNAcentral's name for it is "lncRNA (ENSCHIG00000001698.1)". The record is from RNAcentral. Lineage: Eukaryota; Metazoa; Chordata; Mammalia; Artiodactyla; Bovidae.